GCGGGUGUAGUUCACUGGUAGAAUGCGACCUUCCCAAGGUUGAGAAGCGGGUUCGAUUCCCGUCACCCGCUCCA
This 74-nucleotide transfer RNA is filed under the name Glycomyces arizonensis. Its description in RNAcentral is "tRNA-Gly". It matches the Rfam family "tRNA". From Rfam's summary of the family: Transfer RNA (tRNA) molecules are approximately 80 nucleotides in length. Their secondary structure includes four short double-helical elements and three loops (D, anti-codon, and T loops). Lineage: Bacteria; Bacillati; Actinomycetota; Actinomycetes; Glycomycetales; Glycomycetaceae. RNAcentral also lists the same sequence under 6 other names. The record is from RNAcentral.